AACGAACGCUGGCGGUGUGCCUCAUACAUGCAAGUCGUACGCGAAUCCUGCCGCAAGGCAGGGUUUGAGUGGCAAACGGGUGCGUAACACGUAGGUAAUCUUCCUUUGAGUUGGGGAUAAGCCCUCGAAAGGGGUCUAAUACCGAAUAACACUUCCGGUUGGCAUCAACCGGAAAUUAAAGAUGGCCUCUGCUUGCAAGCUAUCGCUCGGAGAUGAGCCUGCGGCCGANAGUUAGUUGGCGGGAUAAAAGCCCACCAAGACUUCGAUCGGUAGCCGGUCUGAGAGGAUGUCCGGCCACACUGGGACUGAGAUACGGGCCCAGACUCCUACGGGAGGCAGCAGUAGGGAAUAUUGCGCAAAUGGCCGCAAAGGCUGACGCAGCAACACCGCGUGGGGGAUGAAGGUUUUCGGAUCGUAAACCCCUGUCGGGAGGGAAG
RNAcentral lists this ribosomal RNA (437 nucleotides) under uncultured bacterium. RNAcentral's name for it is "bacterial SSU rRNA". It matches the Rfam family "Bacterial small subunit ribosomal RNA", at positions 29 to 447 of the family's 1533-position model. The record is from RNAcentral.